UAGCAGAUACCUUUUGUACGUUGAUUAAGAUACCUUGGCACACACAGACGCACUACAAAAGAAGAGAAGGCAGCUAAAAACUGCACUUAAAAAACACAUAAAAUAAUAAGAAGUCAACUCGAUUAAUUCAGAACAGUUCUCCAAAUGAAUGUACAACAAAAUCCACUUGACCAAAAAUGUCUUGAGUAAAAGUGUCGCAUACGCGUAAAGCGUACGUAUAAUAUAGAAAUAGAUAUAUGUAUUCGUGUGUGUCCGCCAGCCAAUACAAAAGCAGCACAAAAAGUGGUUAAAAGGCAUUAAAAUCAAACAAUAUUUAAAGUGCUGAAAAUUAGUGUGCGUGUGCAAAGAAAGAUUUAAGUGUACAAGCAUACCUGCGUCUGUGCACACUGCGAUACGCCAAAUCGUACUUAUGUAUCUAUGCGCAACUAAAAAAUAUAAUAAGCAGAGUCAGUGCCAAUAAAAUAUAUAAAAAUCACCGUACAAACACAGAUGAUUUUUAGCGAAAAAGCGAAAAGGAAAAAGAUCAAGCAGCAGCAACAACAAAAAUAACAACAACAGCAAGAGUCGCAGAGAAGCCAAUCAAACCAGCAGUUGUCUCGCUUCAACGCGCUCGUUACGAUCACCGUAUGAGCAAGUGAGAGAGCGUAAGGCCAGUCACGGACGUGUGCGAGCGGAGCGGAGCAUUGAUUUGCUGUCUUUGAUUUUGCUUAUGACCUGAGGUGCUCUCUUACAUACAUAUAAACGCCAUCAUCCAGGCAGACAGUAGGCGAGUGUAAGCGAGAGAGAAAGAGCAUGCGACACACAUACGCACACACAUUGACACCUGGCGCAGGAGUCGCGGCUUGCGGCACUUUCAAAUAAAUUAAAAAAUAGCAACAAAACCAACAGGGAGAGAGGCGAAUAGAGCAGUAAGCCUUCCCCCAGCUUCCUCGCUCAGUAGUAACAUUAGUAAGAGCAACAAAAACAGGGACAAGAGAGCAAAAAUACAUGCCUACCUUAACCCAAUUAAAAUACCAUAUUAUUUAACAAAAGAAAUUGUGUUAUUUGCAAGCAACCCAUACAAAGAGAGCGAUCGAGCGAGCAAAAGAGAGAGAGAGAGAGUAUUUGACUUUUUGAAAGUGUAAAAUUUAAAAAUUGUUGCCUUUGCCAUACGGAAGUGAAAUUCUUACAUUCGUC
Molecule: non-coding RNA, 1176 nt
Organism: Drosophila melanogaster (fruit fly)
Lineage: Eukaryota; Metazoa; Arthropoda; Insecta; Diptera; Drosophilidae
Source: Ensembl